UACACUGUCUGUCGAAUUGGUUUUGCCUGACUGAGAAUGCUGCAUAUCGACGGCUGAGAGGGACAGGUUAAUAGAAGAAGAUGAUGAAGAAGAAGAAGAAGAAGAGAGUGCCAUACAUGCAGAUGAAUAAAGAACACACUGGAGCUGGUUGUUCAAAGCCUUAACGAUCCCUGACCCUGUUGGAUCCGGAUCCAGGGAGAUACAAUUACCAAGGGUAAACGGCAACCUCCCACCCCUAACCGCCACUGAUCGUCAUCUGCACCUUGCAAAGAAAGACUGCAGCUAUUACCAAAGCUACACAUGGACCACUGCGUCUUUGUUAAGCUGGGUCUCUUUCCUGGACCAAGAUAUUGACAGAGCUGUUGCUGCCAUUAACCCUGUGUACUCUUUAUUUUUUCCUCAAAGAAAGAACUAUUGGCUGUGUUUGUAUUUCCGAGGCAAACCCCCUGGAGUGACUGACAAAAAAUUAUAUGUAAACUUUAUUUUUCUUUCCCAUGUUUUUUGUGUGUUUUUCCCACACAAAAAACUGACCUUGAACGUAUUUACUCACACAGAG
Long non-coding RNA from Fundulus heteroclitus (mummichog), 556 nucleotides. RefSeq lists it as uncharacterized. Lineage: Eukaryota; Metazoa; Chordata; Actinopteri; Cyprinodontiformes; Fundulidae. The record is from RefSeq and is a predicted model, not a curated record. The transcript has 3 exons.